GAGUUUGAUCAUGGCUCAGGAUGAACGCGGGCGGCGUGCCUAACACAUGCAAGUCGAACGAAGCAUAUAGAAAGAAGUUUUCGGAUGGAAUUUUAUAUGACUUAGUGGCGGACGGGUGAGUAACGCGUGGAUAAUCUGCCUUACACAGCGGGAUAACAAAUGGAAACAGUUGCUAAUACCGCAUAAGCACACAGUAUCGCAUGAUACAGGGUGAAAAGAUUUAUCGGUGUAAGAUGAGUCCGCGUCCCAUUAGCUAGUUGGUGAGGUAAAAGCUUACCAAGGCGACGAUGGGUAGCCGGCCUGAGAGGGUGAACGGCCACAUUGGGACUGAGACACGGCCCAGACUCCUACGGGAGGCAGCAGUGGGGGAUAUUGCACAAUGGGCGAAAGCCUGAUGCAGCGACGCCGCGUGAAGGAAGAAGUAUUUCGGUAUGUAAACUUCUAUCAUUCAGGGAAGAG
This 459-nucleotide ribosomal RNA is filed under the name Lachnospiraceae bacterium canine oral taxon 024. RNAcentral describes it as "bacterial SSU rRNA". It matches the Rfam family "Bacterial small subunit ribosomal RNA", at positions 9 to 449 of the family's 1533-position model. Lineage: Bacteria; Bacillati; Bacillota; Clostridia; Lachnospirales; Lachnospiraceae. The record is from RNAcentral.